Molecule: ribosomal RNA, 282 nt
Filed under: Triticum aestivum (bread wheat)
Lineage: Eukaryota; Viridiplantae; Streptophyta; Magnoliopsida; Poales; Poaceae
Description: partial small subunit ribosomal RNA
Source: RNAcentral
UAUUCCUUUCUUCCAGGAGGAGAGAAAUUCUAUACGGUUGGUCUUGCAGCCGCUUGCUGGGCAAUCUGGCUUGCUCGCAAUAAGGCUACCUUUGAGAAAAAGCAAAUUAAGUCUCCUUUUGAAAUCAUGUUCUCCAUGUGUUCUUUUCUGUUGUAUUGGAGAUGGCUGCAGAAGGGUGACGACGCCGACAAGCUACGCUCAGGUGCCGAGAUGAUCAGGGCCAGCGCGAUGCAGCUGAUGAGACUUUGCGGGGCUGCCGCCCAGCCGAUUGGAGGAGCUUGA